RNAcentral lists this long non-coding RNA (912 nucleotides) under Lynx canadensis (Canada lynx). RNAcentral describes it as "lncRNA (ENSLCNG00005013817.1)". Lineage: Eukaryota; Metazoa; Chordata; Mammalia; Carnivora; Felidae. The record is from RNAcentral.
AACGACCAAGCGGCAACGCGUCUGAGGCUCGUCAGCGGUGCUGUCAGGGGACCUGACGCAGAGACCACAUUGGGUCCGUUGCACCGGGUCCCCGUCCGGGUCCCCGUCCGAGGCAGCGCUGGUGGACUCUGCACGGUGCCCCUCCGCUGCCACUUGGGCGUUGCCCACGGAGAAUUUGUCCGCGCCCCACUCCAGGCCAAUGCGAGGCUGAAACUACACUAACCAGAAAGCCAAGGGGAAUGGCGGCGAGCUAUGGGCCAAUCACAGAAGAAGAGCGACUUCCUGCGGCUCACGGGACUUCCGGCGCCUCCGUUGUGGGCGUUCAUUUUGCUCUUGACAGGGCUAGGGGACCUUUGAGGAUGUGGCCAUGUACUUCUCCUGGGAGGAGUGGGAGAUCCUUGAUGAAGCUCAGAGACAUCUGUACUGCGAUGUAAUGCUUGAGAACUUGGCGCUUGUGGCCUCACUGGCUGAGCAUGGGUAUUGCUUCUUCCUCUGGACUAUCUGCUGUGUGUGAGGAGCUGGGUCACAAGCACAGCCUACUCCUUUCCCUGAGGAGCCCCAAUAUCUGCUUCUGAAGCUUUCUGGAGAAAGGCUCAGGACUGAGGGUCUGGCUGGCUGCCCAAGUUUGUCCAGAUCAGUGGCACUUCUGUGCCCAGGCUCUUCCCUCUUUUUAUUUUUUUAAGUUUAUUUAUUUAUUUUUGAAAGAGAGAGAGAGUGUGCGUGCAAGGGAGGGGCAGAGAGAGAAGGAGACAGAGAAUCCCAAGCAGGCUCCGCACUGUCAGUGUACAGCCUGACAUGGGACUUGAUCUCACAAACUGAGAGAUAAUGAUCUGAGCCAAAAUCAAGAGUCAGACACUCAACCAACUGAGCCACCCAGGCACCCCUUCUUCCCCUUUUUUAAAAUUUUUAUUU